RNAcentral lists this ribosomal RNA (225 nucleotides) under uncultured bacterium. RNAcentral describes it as "partial 16S ribosomal RNA". It matches the Rfam family "Bacterial small subunit ribosomal RNA", at positions 111 to 334 of the family's 1533-position model. The record is from RNAcentral.
UAACGCGUGAGCAAUCUGCCUUUAAGAGGGGGAUAACAGUCGGAAACGGCUGCUAAUACCGCAUAAAGCAUUAAAUUCGCAUGUUUUUGAUGCCAAAGGAGCAAUCCGCUUUUAGAUGAGCUCGCGUCUGAUUAGCUAGUUGGCGGGGUAACGGCCCACCAAGGCGACGAUCAGUAGCCGGACUGAGAGGUUGAACGGCCACAUUGGGACUGAGACACGGCCCAG